CGGGAACGGUCAUACAAUGCAAGUCGAGCGGUAACAUUUCAAAAGCUUGCUUUUGAAGAUGACGAGCGGCGGACGGGUGAGUAAUGCCUGGGAAUUUGCCCAUUUGUGGGGGAUAACAGUUGGAAACGACUGCUAAUACCGCAUACGCCCUACGGGGGAAAGCAGGGGACCUUCGGGCCUUGCGCUGAUGGAUAAGCCCAGGUGGGAUUAGCUAGUAGGUGAGGUAAAGGCUCACCUAGGCGACGAUCCCUAGCUGGUCUGAGAGGAUGAUCAGCCACACUGGGACUGAGACACGGCCCAGACUCCUACGGGAGGCAGCAGUGGGGAAUAUUGCACAAUGGGGGAAACCCUGAUGCAGCCAUGCCGCGUGUGUGAAGAAGGCCUUCGGGUUGUAAAGCACUUUCAGCGAGGAGGAAAGGGUGUAAGUUAAUACCUUACAUCUGUGACGUUACUCGCAGAAGAAGCACCGGCUAACUCCGUGCCAGCAGCCGCGGUAAUACGGAGGGUGCGAGCGUUAAUCGGAAUUACUGGGCGUAAAGCGUGCGCAGGCGGUUUGUUAAGCGAGAUGUGAAAGCCCCGGGCUCAACCUGGGAACCGCAUUUCGAACUGGCAAACUAGAGUCUUGUAGAGGGGGGUAGAAUUCCAGGUGUAGCGGUGAAAUGCGUAGAGAUCUGGAGGAAUACCGGUGGCGAAGGCGGCCCCCUGGACAAAGACUGACGCUCAGGCACGAAAGCGUGGGGAGCAAACAGGAUUAGAUACCCUGGUAGUCCACGCCGUAAACGAUGUCUACUCGGAGUUUGGUGUCUUGAACACUGGGCUCUCAAGCUAACGCAUUAAGUAGACCGCCUGGGGAGUACGGCCGCAAGGUUAAAACUCAAAUGAAUUGACGGGGGCCCGCACAAGCGGUGGAGCAUGUGGUUUAAUUCGAUGCAACGCGAAGAACCCUUACCUACUCUUGACAUCCACAGAACUUUUCAGAGAUGAAUUGGUGCCUUCGGGAACUGUGAGACAGGUGCUGCAUGGCUGUCGUCAGCUCGUGUGUGAAUGUUGGGUUAGUCCCGCACGAGCGCACCCCUAUCUACUGCAGCGGGUAUGCGGAACUUAGGAGACUGCGUGAUAACCGGAGAAGUGGGGACGACGUCAGUCAUCAUGGUCCUACCGAGUUAGGCUACACACGUGCUACAAUGGUCAGUACAGGGCCAAGCCCGCGAGGGUGAGACUAUCCAUAAAGCCGUGGGCGCCAAAAU
RNAcentral lists this ribosomal RNA (1247 nucleotides) under Shewanella algae. Its description in RNAcentral is "bacterial SSU rRNA". It matches the Rfam family "Bacterial small subunit ribosomal RNA", at positions 40 to 1292 of the family's 1533-position model. Lineage: Bacteria; Pseudomonadati; Pseudomonadota; Gammaproteobacteria; Alteromonadales; Shewanellaceae. The record is from RNAcentral.